RNAcentral lists this transfer RNA (76 nucleotides) under Candidatus Poseidoniales archaeon. Its description in RNAcentral is "Marine Group II euryarchaeote (marine metagenome) tRNA-Gln". It matches the Rfam family "tRNA". From Rfam's summary of the family: Transfer RNA (tRNA) molecules are approximately 80 nucleotides in length. Their secondary structure includes four short double-helical elements and three loops (D, anti-codon, and T loops). Further hydrogen bonds mediate the characteristic L-shaped molecular structure. tRNAs have two regions of fundamental functional importance: the anti-codon, which is responsible for specific mRNA codon recognition, and the 3' end, to which the tRNAs corresponding amino acid is attached (by aminoacyl-tRNA synthetases). tRNAs cope with the degeneracy of the genetic code in two manners: having more than one tRNA (with a specific anti-codon) for a particular amino acid; and 'wobble' base-pairing, i.e. permitting non-standard base-pairing at the 3rd anti-codon position. RNAcentral also lists the same sequence under 1 other name. Lineage: Archaea; Methanobacteriati; Thermoplasmatota; Candidatus Poseidoniia; Candidatus Poseidoniales. The record is from RNAcentral.
AGUCCCGUAGUGUAGUGGUCCAUCAUCCCAGGUUUUGGUCCUGGGGACCCUGGUUCAAAUCCGGGCGGGACUACCA